Molecule: ribosomal RNA, 605 nt
Filed under: Bipolaris sp. P15E1
Lineage: Eukaryota; Fungi; Ascomycota; Dothideomycetes; Pleosporales; Pleosporaceae
Description: eukaryotic LSU rRNA
Rfam family: 5.8S ribosomal RNA (bases 234-387)
Source: RNAcentral
UUUGGUCAUUUAGAGGAAGUAAAAGUCGUAACAAGGUCUCCGUAGGUGAACCUGCGGAGGGAUCAUCAUUACACAAUAAAAUACGAAGGCCGUUCGCGGCUGGACUAUUUAUUACCCUUGUCUUUUGCGCACUUGUUGUUUCCUGGGCGGGUUCGCUCGCCACCAGGACCACAAUAUAAACCUUUUUUAUGCAGUUGCAAUCAGCGUCAGUACAACAAAUGUAAAUCAUUUACAACUUUCAACAACGGAUCUCUUGGUUCUGGCAUCGAUGAAGAACGCAGCGAAAUGCGAUACGUAGUGUGAAUUGCAGAAUUCAGUGAAUCAUCGAAUCUUUGAACGCACAUUGCGCCCUUUGGUAUUCCAAAGGGCAUGCCUGUUCGAGCGUCAUUUGUACCCUCAAGCUUUGCUUGGUGUUGGGCGUUUUUGUCCCCCCCAAAAAAGGGGACUCGCCUUAAAAGGAUUGGCAGCCGGCCUACUGGUUUCGCAGCGCAGCACAUUUUUGCGCUUGCAAUCAGCAAAAGAGGACGGCAAUCCAUCAAGACUCCUUCUCACGUUUGACCUCGGAUCAGGUAGGGAUACCCGCUGAACUUAAGCGAAUCAAUAAG